AAGCGAAACCGGGGGCAAUCCCCGGUCGCCGGGCGGCGGCGCGUCCGGCCUGAUGAGCAGCCAAAA
This 66-nucleotide non-coding RNA is filed under the name Magnetococcales bacterium. The record is from RNAcentral. Lineage: Bacteria; Pseudomonadati; Pseudomonadota; Magnetococcia; Magnetococcales.